This 253-nucleotide ribosomal RNA is filed under the name uncultured bacterium. RNAcentral describes it as "partial 16S ribosomal RNA". It matches the Rfam family "Bacterial small subunit ribosomal RNA", at positions 524 to 776 of the family's 1533-position model. The record is from RNAcentral.
UACGUAGGGGGCAAGCGUUAUCCGGAAUUACUGGGUGUAAAGGGAGAGUAGGCGGCAAGGUAAGCGAUAUGUGAAAGCCUUAAGCUUAACUUAAGGAUGGCAUAACGAACUAUCUAGCUAGAGUACAGGAGAGGAAAGCGGAAUUCCUAGUGUAGCGGUGAAAUGCGUAGAUAUUAGGAAGAACACCAGUGGCGAAGGCGGCUUUCUGGACUGAAACUGACGCUGAGGCUCGAAAGCGUGGGGAGCGAACAGG